CUCAUUCCGUUUGAACGAAGGCAUCGAAGUAUUCAUUCGAGCUCAAUCAAACCAAGCAAGAUCGUGUUUUUAUUUUUAUCGAUUGUUUUGCAACUGAAGUUCAUCAAUUUAUUAUGGGUGGAUCUAGCAUUCGAGCUCAAUCAAAUCAAGCAAGAUCAUGUUUUUAUUCUUAUCGAUUGUUUUGCAACUGAACUUCAACAAUUUGUUAUGGGUGGAUCUGGCAUUCGAGCUCAAUCAAACCAUUCAAGAUCGUGUUCUUAUCAGAUUUCGAUGAUUGUUUUGUAACAGAAGUUAGGAAAUUUAUUGGUCGAUUGGUUAAUUAAUAACACUACCACUGAGGGGAAGGGAAGGGUAUAUGUAUUGAAACGAAAAUUGAAUCCCCUGCGCUUCUCAGUGAUCUGGCUUUGUCCAUUCGUGUUCGUAAUCCAACGACGAUGGUCCUCUGUCUGUUCAUGUUCAUAACCGAACCAGUGCAUAUACCUUUUCUGUCUUCUACGUGUAGUUAUCUCUCAGAACGUGGUGCAACUGAUAAAUGUCUGCAAUUAAAAGGUUCACAGAUGGAUUCUAUAAAUAUAGGUUCUUGGAAAGUGAUUCUGAUAGAACAUAAAAAGCACCGGAGUAAGAAAAAGGAAGAGUUAUAACUUUCUAGCAGGUAUCUCAGUGACAAGCGGAAGCGUGUUGAGAAAACUGAAUCCAAUAAUUGAAGCUUAAUUAGUGGAAUUCGCAAGGGACAAAUUUUUCAGGGUCUCACCAAUAAGAACCAUGAUAAUCAGCACACAAGGUACUCUAUACAAAAAUAGUCCAAGUAAGUAUUACAACUCUUUCUCUAUAAAUUUCCAAAAAUUAUACAAUCACAAUUACUUUUAUUUUUUAAUAUGUAUUGCUUACAUGCAGAUUAUUGCAUUAUAUUAAAUGAAUUUUCUGCUUCAACUAUGGUUCUAACUGAAGGUCUAAUAUUCAAACCAGCCUUUACACCUACUUAUAAUUUAUACCUGUUACUACAUACCAAAACAGAGUACUUCAUUAAAAGUAAUUUUCAGAAGAGUAGUGUACAAAAAAAAAAAUGAAUAUGAAAGAAGGUAUGAA
Molecule: long non-coding RNA, 1086 nt
Organism: Nelumbo nucifera (sacred lotus)
Lineage: Eukaryota; Viridiplantae; Streptophyta; Magnoliopsida; Proteales; Nelumbonaceae
Source: RefSeq, a predicted model, not a curated record